RNAcentral lists this ribosomal RNA (253 nucleotides) under uncultured bacterium. RNAcentral describes it as "partial 16S ribosomal RNA". It matches the Rfam family "Bacterial small subunit ribosomal RNA", at positions 524 to 776 of the family's 1533-position model. The record is from RNAcentral.
UACGUAGGUGGCAAGCGUUGUCCGGAUUUACUGGGCGUAAAGAGCGCGCAGGCGGUCGUUCACGUCUCGUGUGAAAGCCCCCGGCUCAACUGGGGAGGGUCACGCGAUACUGAUCGACUCGAAGGCAGGAGAGGGAAGUGGAAUUCCCGGUGUAGUGGUGAAAUGCGUAGAUAUCGGGAGGAACACCAGUGGCGAAGGCGACUUCCUGGCCUGUUCUUGACGCUGAGGCGCGAAAGCUAGGGGAGCAAACGGG